This 438-nucleotide ribosomal RNA is filed under the name uncultured bacterium. RNAcentral's name for it is "partial 16S ribosomal RNA". It matches the Rfam family "Bacterial small subunit ribosomal RNA", at positions 339 to 795 of the family's 1533-position model. The record is from RNAcentral.
CUACGGGUCGCACCAGUGAGGAAUAUUGCACAAUGGGGGGAACCCUGAUGCAGCAACGCCGCGUGGAGGAUGACGCAUUUCGGUGUGUAAACUCCUUUUAUAUGUCAAGAAAAUGACGGUAGCAUAUGAAUAAGCACCGGCUAACUCCGUGCCAGCAGCCGCGGUAAUAGGGAGGGUGCAAGCGUUACUCGGAAUCACUGGGCGUAAGGACGCGUAGGCGGGUUGGAAAGUCAGGUGUGAAAUCCUACAGCUUAACUGUAGAACUGCACUUGAAACUUCUAAUCUAGAGUAUGGGAGGGGGAGAUGGAAUUAGUGGUGUAGGGGUAAAAUCCGUAGAUAUCACUAGGAAUACCUAAAGCGAAGGCGAUCUCCUGGAACAUUACUGACGCUAAGGCGUGAAAGCGUGGGGAGCAAACAGGAUUAGAUACCCCCGUAGUC